This is a long non-coding RNA of Megalobrama amblycephala (Wuchang bream), 6776 nucleotides long. RefSeq lists it as uncharacterized. NCBI's taxonomy places the organism in Eukaryota, Metazoa, Chordata, Actinopteri, Cypriniformes, Xenocyprididae. The transcript has 12 exons. The record is from RefSeq and is a predicted model, not a curated record.
UUGAACUUUACCACCAAAACAACUUUUAUUCACAGCAAAAGCAUAAUAUAUUCUUUUACAUUUGGUAAUUUUGGUCAAUUUUGUUCUCUUGAACCCUAUAAUUGUGGUUAUAUUUAAAAAAAAUUUAAUUGCAUGUAUUGUUUUGCAAGUAACUUUGUUGUUGUUGAAUUCUGACCCUUUAAGAGGUGCUUGUUGGGUUCUGGUGUGUCCCGCACCUCAUGAAGGUAAUUUAAUUGUCGUGGCGUCCGCAGGGCCGCGUGUGGAUCUCUCUGUGGGUGUGGAGGUGUGGAGGGGCACAGGCGGUCUGAUGGUAUCGAGCUUUGGCUGAGAUCAGCUCGCUGGCAUCAUCAUCCAGCUCCUCCUGCGAACCUGCGGCGCUGCUGCAUGAAGGAACCAGAUACUGAAGGAAGGACAAACAGUCAAGGACCUCAGAUAAGACAUUUGCUCUCCCCUGUGUCUCACAGUAAGAGUGUUGGCACGCUGCUGCUGUUUUGGCUUUAAUCUCGGCUGAUUUCAGGUUGAUCACACUCUCUCACAUCCUCUCUGAUCUCUGCGAGCCGUCACAUGGGCAGAUGGUCACCUGGACCUUUUGCUGACCUCAACACCUGUAGCAUCGCCUCACCUGUGCAAUUUGUUGUGAGAAUUGUUUUCCUUCCUAGAACUCCAGAGAACAAGCAUCUACAGGUUACGGUUCCCGUCAUCAUUAGCAGGCCUGUGUCAGCCAGCGGCCCAGAGGGAGUUCAGAGAGGACCUGAGUUGUGAGAUGAGGUGAAAGCCGCCCAUAUUCCCACAGUGACGGAGCGGCAAUUACCCCAAACUGUGACUGCGUCCUCCUACCGGCCACAGGAACAAUGGACUGUCUGUCAGCGGCGGUGUUGCCCAAGCAUAACAGAUGUGUGUGGACACACUAGACAAUGGCGUGGCUGGAUAAGUGGGUUCCUGAUCUCAGAGGCGGGGGGGAGGACGGCAGCUUGUGUCCGAGACGCUCGUGUGGGGCGAGGGAGAACUCCACAGGACCAGCACAGAGCCGGAUCCGCCGCUGUUCUUUUAUGAGACUAUCACAGAUACCCUGAGUGCUUUUUUCUUCUGGUUUGAUGGAAUUGUCUUCCUCUAGCGAGACCUUCAGCACAGCUGAGCGCAGAACUUUCCAGACUCUGGGAGAAAGUUGGAGGAGUUUGAGGAUGAGGUGGUGGUCAUCUGAGGUCACUCUGAAGGUCACUGAAGGCAGGAGGACUCAUAUUCGAAAGCCUUUUGUCUGUGUAUUUUUCCAAAAUGGAAUUGCAAAAAAUAAUGACUGUCUUCAUACAGGUUUCCCAAUGGUCAACAAACAGAUAACCCCACCCCAAUCUCACAUUAUUGGUUGAGAUCCCCACCCCACCCCCUAUCCUCCACAGUCCCGGCACUCCUCCCAAGAAAGACCGAGGGAUGAGGGCGGACAGACAGAGGGAGAGAAACCGGCCGUAUUGUUUAAUACACUGGAGGUGGAGAUCUGGAGUGGAUUUUGAGAAAGCGAGAUAUUGGCUCCAUCUGUUUACGAGCUUGAUGACUCUGAAACUCAUCAGAGACUGAGACACUCCUUCACCUCAUUAAAAUACAGUUGACUGUAAAUCUCUGAACCACGAGAGAAAAAUGAGACAAACGCUCAAUUGGAGAUAUUGAUGGGAUACACUUGCUCCCAAAGUCUGGAAUCAAAACUUGACUAUUUUAAUAUGAACUCAAACAUUUCUCAUUAAGUUCUCUCAAAUCCAGAUGAUUGUAUACAAAUUGUAUAGCUUUGUAUCUUGGCUUAUUACUGCAUGUCAACAAUUGUCUUUUCGUUUCUUCUAAAUAAUUUUUGUAGAAACUUUGAGGCAAAUUUGAUACUCAUGAACAAUAUAAAAUAACAUUUAACUCUUUGCUCACCAGAGUUAUUUAUUUUUUUUAAAUUUGCCAGCUACCACCAUAAUGGCGUCUGUGGCGGGGAAGCGUUGUCUCCAUAAAUGGCGUAACAUUCGGUAAAUGGCGGGGAAGUGUUGUCUCAUAAAUGACGGAAAAUUCCAUCAACGGCAGUAAAGCAUUGUCUCGUAAAUGUCGGCAAAUUCCGUCAAUGGCGGGGAAGCGGCGUCUUGCAAGUGAUGGAAAAUUCUGUCAAUUUGCAGGGAAGCGUCUCGUAAAUGACGGAAAAUUCCAUCAAUGGCAGGGAAGCAUUGUCUCAUAAAUGAUGGAACAUUCUGUCAAUGCCGGGGAAAUAGUCAAUAGCACUUUUAUUUACCCCAACCAAAAUAAGUUAUGAUGUGCACAGAAGCGUUUGUAAUGUAUUUUUGUGUUGUAUUGUGAAUGCACUUAAAGGCCAUCUGCAUCCAUGUGUGUAAGUGGUGUGAACACCACACUCAGUGCUGUAAUGUUCCAGGAGCUCUUCUGGGGUCCUUUGGAGAUCUCCGUCUAAAGCUUAAUGUGAGAGCGACAACCCCUGUCUCAGCAAACACGCAGCGCUUUUACUGGUUAACCCACCCUUUCCCCCGUGGCCUCAGGAGACCCCGUCAAAGCCCGCGGAGAGACGUGAGUCAACCUCGCCUCUGUCCUUUCAAGCUCGUUACAACUUGUGUUUAAUGCAACGCUGCUCUUAGAACCGUUCGUCUAAUUGUUCACCAUUGUGUUUAACCCAUCUGAGCCUCUGACAGCACUCAACAAUUGGAAACGCAGUCGCAGGGUAGCAGUUGUCAGCGCGAGCGUGCUAAUUUGAAUAUGCAGCGAACGGGGGGCUUUCAGAGCGAGACAGAGAGGGAGGCCAUAUUGAGAGCCGCCAUCUGUGUCCGUGUCGCUCCGUGCGGCCAAAGCAGGGAGAUCCCAUAUGUCACACGAAGCCCCGCUGGGUAUAGCUCUCUUGUUGCUGUUUGUUGUUGUUAUUUAUUUACGAAAGGUCCUAAGAAUGAAAAAAUCGAGCUGGGUUUGCGGUGCCAGGGCCGAAGGGCCGAUAAUCUGGCAUCGUUAGGACCAUCUAACGAGCAGACUCCAUGUCAGUUGGCUUGUGUGUGUGUGUGUGUCUGCAAGAUGGUAUGCGCACAUCUGCUGAAUCACUGUGGUCCAUUGGGCGUUGGGCCGACGUGGGACCAUGUGGUGCGGUGGCAGAGACGGUCCCCAGAGCUUUCAGCGACAGGCCUGGUCUACUGACAUCACAGACACACCUCUACAUGAACUGACAUCAUGGCUAGGCACUCAACUAGAAAUAAAGGUAACAUGUUAGCCUCAGGGCGACUUCACACUAGAGAUUUUGAAGUCAGAGUUCAGUUUGUUUGGUUGGUGUGCAAGCUGUUUUACAAACUCAAAUGCACAUCACCUUUUUAGUCUUGUCUAUCACGUUUCCAUAGGACUUGACAUAAACACCCGCCAACCUAACAAAUGCGGGUGGAUUUCAGCAGUGGCGUGUAAUGCGGUCACUCCUAUUAGCCAAUUUGGCGGGUUGAAUUUUAUGUAAUAUGGGCUAUACAUUUUUCAAUUGGAGUCUUUUAAAAAGGCAUCUGAAAUAAUAUAGUGUUGUCAAAAAUAUUUAUUUUUUAUACAUAUAGAUGCAGAAUAGAUACACGAUACCAGCUGUGCUUUCUCGCUCUCUCAUCUAUCCGACAGCGAGUUGACACACAAACCCGCCUCCCCUCACUCACUCGUUUCAUUUGUUCCGGAUUAAUGUUGUUGGUUUUACAGGACUUGAAUUUCGGUGUGGGAUUGCGCGUAUUGUGCAUAAUUUGACUCAUUUCCGCAGAUUUUGUGUUUACACCCAAAGUGUGUGCAUUGUGCGUUUUUUUCAUUGUUUAUACUGUAUAUUUGGCGUAAACAGUGAAAUACACAAAAAAAAACGCAAAAUGCCAGUUUUGGCAAUUAUUCACGUAAACAGAGUCAGUUAUGACCGUGCGUCAGGUCUUAAAGUGACAGCAGCCUAAUAUACCUGAUGCCAAAUUAUGAGUUAAUAUUAAAAAUAUCUAUAUGUCAGUUUUUCCCUAUGGUAUCGAUGUCAAAAUUGUGGCCAGUGAAAAUGAUGAGUGACAAAAAAUAAGUUCAUGUCAAGAACUUGAGGCAACCAUAGAGAAACUAGACCUACAAGUAACUUUAUUAAUAAAUGAAAUACAAUUAAGGGAUUGUUCACCCAAAAAUAAAAAUUCUGACAUCAUUUAUUCACAGCCAAGCUGUUCCAAAACUGCUUUGACUUUGACCAGAAGAAGAUGUCUGUCACUAUGAUCUUUUUAGAGCUGCUUUACAGCAGAAUAUUUUGCAGUUUGCAUCAUUCAUCAUUUCCGUUUAUUACUGUGAAGCUCCUUUUGAAACAAUCUGUAUUAUAUAAAUUGACUUGACUCCUGUCCCGCAGAGUUCAGCUCCAACCCUAAUUAAACUCACCUGAACCAACUAAUCAAGGUCUUCACUCUUUAUGCAUACUAGAAACUUCCAGGCAGGUGUAUUGGGGCAAGUCAGAGCUAAGAUCUGUAGGACAUUGGCCCUCCAGGAGCAGGUUUGGAUAUCCCUGACACCCAAAAUCAAAAUUCUUUAUUUAAGUUGUACUCUUUGUUUUACAGGUUUAAACAAUACCAAAAUCUUUCCAAGUACCCCCUGGAACCUGCCAAAGUACCUCCUGGUUAGCAAUCAGUUGACAAAGGUAUGAUUAAUGUGGACUCUUGAAUUGUUAUGCAAGCAAUUUUUGCUUUUGAUGAUACUGUUUUUGGGCAGUGCAUUUGUUGAAUCUAUUUCAGUAAAACCACGACAGAUGCAAGUUCUGUUCUGUGCAUGUUUUGAUAGUUAAAGCAAAGAGACAAAACCACGGGAUGCCGUUGUCUUCCCCUUCUGAGUUGUUUCCUAGCUACAGUGGUAAACAGCUGCUGCUGGUACUCAACAGUGGCACUCAUGCUGAUGACAUAAGGGUACCUUGAUGGCCAAAUAAUAUAGUGAGCAAAACACCUGUGGUGACCAAAAAAGGUGGAAUUGGACUCGAGAUUCAGACCAAGCAUCUCUAGAAUAACCACUUCAUUCCCCUCGAAUUCAGCUCCUAAUGCACCUCUGAAAACAAGCUCUACAUUGUAGAGUCAGCGUUCUGGUAAAUGGACUCAGCCCUUACUGUAAGAGAAUGCCCCAUAGGCUCAAUUAACCAGCCAGCACAGCGCUCUCUUCUCCCUGUGUUAAUUAGAUGGCUGCAGUGCCUGCCAGCACAGCUCUGAGACGUCGCUGUGCGCUGCGCAAGAACUGCCGUCAGGGCCGCGGGACACUCCCCACCCACAGCUGCCCACUGAUGUCAUCUCUAAAGCAGUUAUGUUAACUAACUCCCAACUCCAGCAGAAUUCCGGAUGCGCCCCAUUUCAAGCGUCCUCAGGUGCAUGGUGUUGCGCUCUUGAAUCGGGCUCUUUCAGCGAUUUGUCGCGGUUCUGUUGGGCCCUGCUGCGACGGCACGUGCCAGCUCACCACCGCGGCGCUGCUCCCUGUGUGCCAGACGGCCUCUCGUCGUCCUGACAGCCCACCACUGCUGUCACCCGCCCUGCGCCCGGGCACCGGCUCCCAGCCCUGGCAACGCAACCACAACCCCGACCCAGAAUAGAUGCAGGCACAGGGGCCAGACAGAAACCCCCACAGGACGCGCACACACACACGCACACACACACUGUACCCUGCAGCUCUGCAGACUGUUCAUUUGCUCGAGUCGGGAUGAGACAAGGUCAGAUUCGGACACAACUUGCAUAGUUUCAUAAUUAAAGGUGAAAAUUCUGACUCUAAAUUCUGAUUGGACGAGACACUCUCAAAGCCACGACAAAAUAUCGAUAUACAAACACUAAUUCUGUCGGCCUGUUAAUGCAUGCAUGAAUUGGGAACAAUGCACAGUGGUUCAUUGUGAUUAUUAUUAACAUAAAUGAGUACUGAACUCUUUGUUGCUGGUGAAGAGGAGGGGGUGACGGACGUGCAGCUUGUGCUCGUAGCGGUCUGGCCCGAUCAGCAGUCUGACAGUGACGGGAGGAGGUGGGAGAGCCAGGUUCAUUUGCAUAAUUAUGGUCGUGCUUCCUGAAACACAGUCCCGCCCACCGUCGACCUUUCAUCAACCCGAAUACUGAACAGCUCAGAAACACACAGCAGCCAGAUAAGAGCUGCCACGCACCAGACCGCACGCCUCCGUCCGCCCGCUCAACGAGUGUUUACUUCUGAGGAAAGACAGCAGGCGGAGAGAGGGAGGACAAACAGACGAGUGUGACCUGCAGCAGGCAGCAUGCACCAGCUCCCUGGAUCCGGCCUCAGAUGAUGGAUACCAGCUGAAAUGUGUCCAGUUAAAUCAUUAGGACACACACUACAGGCCAGUCAUUCAGAGAGGCAAGUAAAGUCAACAUCCAGCCCUCUCAAUGAUGCUGAACUAAUGCUGAUUGAUCACUGCUGGUCUGUGUGUGCGUGAUCGGUUUCAGCUGUAAAUCAUAUCAGCUUGUUGUUUGCUGUAUCUUCAGAUGCCUUUACCUUGUUUUGUUCUGGUUCGUAAAUGUCGGCCUCAGUGUGUGUGUGCGCGUGUGUGUGUGUGAAAAGGCUUUAUCUGCUGUUAUCUUCGCCGGCCCGCUUUGCAGCUGCUCUCCACCUGUCACUCACACAGGGAGUGGUGCUCGUGCUCUGGGCUGAGCGCGUGUACAUGCGCGUCUGUGAGUUACGGGGUCAUAGAGGGUUGCGUUCUGUAAUAAAAUACACUGAUGGAAUGUAUGCAAAAAUUAAUUAAUACUGAAGAUGUGUAUUGCAUGUGAAAUUUCAAGCAGUGACGUGAUAUACUUAAUCUAAAGCUAUUUUACCUGUAU